GCAUAUCAAUAAGCGGAGGAAAAGAAACCAACAGGGAUUGCCCUAGUAACGGCGAGUGAAGCGGCAACAGCUCAAAUUUGAAAUCUGGCUCUUUUAGAGUCCGAGUUGUAAUUUGCAGAGGGCGCUUUGGCUUUGGCAGCGGUCCAAGUUUCCUUGGAACAGGACGUCACAGAGGGUGAGAAUCCCGUACGUGGUCGCUAGCUAUUGCCGUGUAAAGCCCCUUCGACGAGUCGAGUUGUUUGGGAAUGCAGCUCUAAAUGGGAGGUAAAUUUCUUCUAAAGCUAAAUAUUGGCCAGAGACCGAUAGCGCACAAGUAGAGUGAUCGAAAGAUGAAAAGCACUUUGGAAAGAGAGUCAAACAGCACGUGAAAUUGUUGAAAGGGAAGCGCUUGCAGCCAGACUUGCUUGCAGUUGCUCAUCCGGGCUUUUGCCCGGUGCACUCUUCUGCAGGCAGGCCAGCAUCAGUUUGGGCGGUGGGAUAAAGGUCUCUGUCACGUUCCUUCCUUCGGGUUGGCCAUAUAGGGGAGACGUCAUACCACCAGCCUGGACUGAGGUCCGCGCAUCUGCUAGGAUGCUGGCGUAAUGGCUGUAAGCGGCCCGUCUUGAAACACGGACCAAGGAGUCUAACAUCUAUGCGAGUGUUUGGGUGUCAAGCCCGAACGCGUAAUGAAAGUGAACGGAGGUGGGAACCCGCAAGGGUGCACCAUCGACCGAUCCUGAAGUUUACGGAAGGAUUUGAGUAAGAGCAUGGCUGUUGGGACCCGAAAGAUGGUGAACUAUGCUUGAAUAGGGUGAAGCCAGAGGAAACUCUGGUGGAGGCUCGCAGCGGUUCUGACGUGCAAAUCGAUCGUCAAAUUUGGGGCAUAGGGGCGAAAGACUAAUCGAACUAUCUAGUAGCUGGGUUCCUGCCGAG
RNAcentral lists this ribosomal RNA (912 nucleotides) under Curvularia trifolii f. gladioli. RNAcentral's name for it is "LSU rRNA". It matches the Rfam family "Eukaryotic large subunit ribosomal RNA", at positions 38 to 965 of the family's 3401-position model. Lineage: Eukaryota; Fungi; Ascomycota; Dothideomycetes; Pleosporales; Pleosporaceae. The record is from RNAcentral.